Non-coding RNA from Clostridiales bacterium 38_11, 85 nucleotides. NCBI's taxonomy places the organism in Bacteria, Bacillati, Bacillota, Clostridia, Eubacteriales. The record is from Rfam.
UCCAUCGUGAGGUGGAAUCUGAAGGAAGCUGAAGGCAAAGUCUCGCACCGACGAACAGAAACUACAUAGAAGGCAUACGUGGAAG